AUCCAUUCGAUCUGAAGAAAGAUGUCUCCAUCAGUCAUUUAGAGCCUUUAUCGUGAGCUAGCACUCCCAAAAAGGAUGAUCUGUUCGAGGCUUAGAGUAGACUACCUGUAGAGGCUGGACACACUAUGCGAUUGCUCGACAUUAAGAAGGACCUCCUACCACAUUCAUCAGCAGUGGUGAUCAUCGAUCGAUGAUCAGAUAAUGAGUUCUGAACUCAUCGAAUUAGAACUAACUGUU
This 237-nucleotide long non-coding RNA is filed under the name Elaeis guineensis (African oil palm). RNAcentral's name for it is "long non-coding RNA (EGUI_LNC033940)". Lineage: Eukaryota; Viridiplantae; Streptophyta; Magnoliopsida; Arecales; Arecaceae. The record is from RNAcentral.